This 6462-nucleotide long non-coding RNA is filed under the name Homo sapiens (human). RNAcentral describes it as "HSALNT0250562". The record is from RNAcentral. Lineage: Eukaryota; Metazoa; Chordata; Mammalia; Primates; Hominidae.
UUGACUCUGCAUGACUGGUCUUCUUUGGCAUAGUUAAGAAGCUGCUCAUUUCUAGAAACAUUGAUUUUGAUGUAACAAAGCAAGAAUGGAGGACUACCUUGCUGUUGGUUUCUUUCUGUUUCUACAGAAACAGGAAAAAGCAAGAGCUACUGGGCAAGGUGUAGUACAAAGGUAUACAUGAAAGCUAAGAGUCAACAAGAAACUACGUUUUUCACUAGAAGGCCUUCUAAUGUGAAGUUACACCAACUGCUGACAUGCCUUCUCUUCCAAAUGCGUACCAAUGGGUUUAUUUCCUAUUCAAGUUGCAGCAAGCAUUAAAGAUUACCCGUGGAGCAUCCCAAGCGGGAAGCCAAGAAAAGGAUCUCUGAAGUUUUUGCUUUCAUGGAAGGCAUUUGCUGACUCCUAAGCAAAACAUGCAGAAGGAAACACAGUGAAACCAAACAGCAAGCAGCUACUAAGCAACUAAAGACCUAAGUAAAGAAUGCUGGCAUCUCAUGGUUCUAGGAAGAUAUGAAAUGGAUUCAGGUUUUCAUCGAGUAAAAGCAGGUCAGGUAAGGACUUAGACUUUUAAUUGUCAGCCUAGAGUAGCUAAACCCAAGGAACAGGAAAGACUGAAAGUGGAUCACCCUCUUCUUGAUAAAGCACAUACUCUGUCAUUACAGGAUGAUGAAAGAGAGAAAACAGAAAAUGAGCAGGGUCAACAUUUAAAGUGAUAUUGGAUGUACAUUUUCCAAAACUGAGAAAAAAGUUCAGAUCAUAGCGUUGAGAAUUUUAUCAAAUUGCAUGAAGUAUACAAACUCACAACAACAACAAUCACAACCACAAAACCAUACCCCUAGGCAUGUCAGAGAAAAAUCUACUGAACUAAAAACAAAAAAGAAAUCUGGAAAGCUGCCAGAAAAUAGUGCACUACAUUCAAAGCAGAAAUAAGAUAACGAAAGCUGACUUUUCAACACAAAGGGAGUAAGUCAGAAAUAAGGAUGAAAUAUAUAGUGUGGAAACGUAAAAAAAAAAAAAAAGAAUUUUCUAACCUUCUAAUAUUUCACUAAAAUAUAAAAAUAAAAUAAUGACAAUUUUUUCUCUAGGAGAUGAGCACUGAAAUUGCUACUGUAGGAGUGUUAUAGGCAGAUUGAUAAUGAUCAUAAAUGAAGCAUGGUUAUAAGAGUUAAUGAAGAACAGUGAUAUGGUAAAUAUAGGGGAAAGCUUCAAUGAAUAUUUACUGCUUUUAAAAUUGUGUAGGAUUUAAAAUGUAUAUGGAAUCAAAAUAUAUGACAACAGUUUGUAGAAAGAGUAAAUGAAUUUAAAGUGUUGUGGGGUCUUUGUAUUAUUUAUGAAAUGCUUAAGGGCUAACUUAAGGCUCCAAUAAGUUAAAAUGCAUGUUAGGAGCUCUAAAAGAAACUUGAAAUAAUAACCAAAGAUGAAAAUUAAACACCUAUUAAGUUAAAUAAUAUAAUACUAGCCAAAUAAGCUAAAUUUAUACAUAUAAAUGGCCAAACGAAGGUAGGAACAAGAAACAAAGAAACAAAGACUAGAUGGCAUAAUAAAAGGAAAUGAAUAGCAAGAUGUCAGAUUUAAUCCCAGAUAUAACAGCAAUUAAAUUUAGUAUAAAUAAACUAAAUACUCCAAUUAAAGCGGAAAGAUCAGAUUGUAUAAAAAUAAAGAUAUUCAUAAACAGGGAAAAAUAAACAAUCAUUUGACACUUCACGGAAGUAUAAUGACACAAAAGGUUGAAAUUAAAAGGAUCAAAAAGAUACACUAUGCAAACAAGAGAGUUCCAUAUAGCUAGAUUCAUUGACUGAGUAGAAUUUAAAUCAAGAAGUAUUACUGAGUUAAAAAUAAACAUUUCAUAAUAGCAAUUCCAUAAUUGCUACUUUAGUGAAAAAAAACUAUCAUAAAUCUGUAUGUUCCCAAUAGACUCAAAAUAUAAAAUUAUCAGUGAAAAAAAAGAAUAAAAGAAAAGUCUACAUUACAGUGAAAGGCUUAAAAAUAGCUGUCUUACAAACUCACAGACAAGUUGACAAAAAAUUAGUAGAUGUACAGAGAAAUUGAGAAACAUUACAAUCAAAACUGUUCAAUUUGAAAUAUAUAUAUGUGUGUAUAUAUGUAUAUGUGCAUGUGUAUAUAUGUACAUAUAUAUAUAUAUAAAGUACCCACAAAUCAAUAAGAAAAAUACUGUAAAGACAAUUUCUCCAAAAUGGAUGUUCUGAAUAAGUAUUUCCCAAAAAACAACAGUGAAAUAUAAUGAACUUUCAAACAGGUGGUGAACUUCAGUAGUAAUUUUAGAAAUGCAAAUGAAGACCAAAAUGUGAUACAAUACACAAUCAACAGAAUAACAAAAAUUAAAAGACAUCAAUACCCUGGAAACAUUAAGCAUAUAUAUAUAUAUGCUCAUAAACCUUUACUACUAGGUAUAUACCCCCCAAAAUGUGAAUAUGUGCUCAAUAUACAUGUCCAAGAAGAUUGGUAGCAGAAGAAUUCAUAACAGCCUCAAUCUAGGACUAACCCUAAAGUUCAUCAACACAAGAACAGAUAAAUGUAGUAUCUUCAUAGAACUGAAUAUGACAGAGCAAUGAAAAAGGACAAAUGACAGCUAUGUGAAACAGCAUGCACAGAUAUCAAAGACACAAUGUUGAAGAAAGUAGAUACAAAAGAGGUACAUUUCACAAAACCUCAUUUAUAGAAGUUUAAAUGCCAUCAAAACCAAUCUAUGAAGAAUAUAGAUGCAGAAUAUAUGAGGGUGGAGUGACUAGUGGAGGCAAUUCAUUAGAGAGUCUUUCAUUAGGUUUCUGGAAAUGUUCUGAAUCUUUAUGUCAGUGGUGAUUGCACAGGUGGUGCAACUUUUCAAAAAUGUAUUGAACUGUACACUUUGGAUUUGAGUCUUUUACUGUAGAUAUGUUAUACCUCAUUAAAAAUAGUUUGGAGUCAAACACACACACACAAACAACAACAACAAAAGGAAAGGUAAGUACAGAAGCCUUUAGUUUUCAACUUCAGUGCAGGUCGAUUACUGCAUAUCUGGUAUCUUAUUCUGCACAUUGUCUUUUAUUUCUUCUUUCCUGUUUUCUUUGUACCAUUCCUGGCUUCUCCCUCUCUACUUAUACCGCUAUUGAAUUCCUGUUUGUUGCUUUCAUAUUUUUUCCAUUAUCUCAUUUUACUUCUCAAGUUAUUUAUUUUCCUUAUUCUUCAAAAGGAUCUUGUAAUUUGUGACCUGUCUUGCCCAGUUCACAGCAGCCCCAACAAAAGAUUCUUCUCAAUAUAUAUGCUAUAAAAUCUUUAACAUCCCUGUUCACUUAACCCAAGUUUUUAUGGGACUGUUAGCAUAGGAAGUAUAAUAGAAGCCCACAGUAUGAUUAACCUCCAUUUAUUUCUCUGGUUAUGUGGAUUUCACGUUGUAGUCAUUUUAAAAGCUUGGAGGAGCCUCAUUAACUUUACAAGGCAAGACUGGAUUUACAGAUCCAAUAUCUAUGUGGAGAAAGCAACGCUGCAAGUUCUGUUUUUAUUGGAGGUUCUCUGUUGUCUUUUCUCCCUAAUAUAGAUGUCUUUUAUAAGAUUACUUUUUAUAGAACAAAAGCAACAGGCAAUUUCCAAUUAAACGCAGAUGGUAAGGUUUUUCUUUCUACAGGCACUCAGGUGCAAGGAUCUGCCUCAAAGCCUUUGAAUUUUAUGAGGGGUUAAUGCAGUUAAUGUUUUUUACAUUAUUUUGAAUAUUAAUUACAGUAUAAACAUUGCCCCAAGCCCAUGUUUUAGUUAGCAUAUUUUCAAAACAAAUUCACAUCUUAUAUUAAGUAACCUUUCAAAACAAGUAUAGGAAGAUUAUUACCAGCUCUCAUUUAUUUUUCUUUUCUGCUUUAACUAGCUCGCUUUUCUGGGACUAGACAGUGAAAUAAUUAAAUUCAGUGCUUCUUAUUGGUAUUCAGCUUUGACUAGUGCUUAUCUAUAAGGCUUAACUAUUUGCAGCAUAUGAUGAAGAAACAACCUGGAUCUAUGAUGCAGUCAUCCUUCAGUAUUAGCAAGCCUAAUAAAUAUUUGAUUAGUAGAAGGAGCAAAACAUACUUAACGUAGAAUUAAAUGCCAGUUGAUUGAAAAUAUACAAGAUGUUUCAAUACUACCCACUGUAAUGUGCAACAUUUAUAACUGAUAUGGUAAAGAGAUAAUUGGGUUAUGUGGCGAGGUUUCCUUUUUCUCAAGUUGAGGUAGUGUGUGAAACAUAUACCUCUGUUGCAUCCUAUCUGCUCGCUUUACCAAAUAUUUCCAUUUAUCUUUUGGCGUUGAUGGUAGAAUUGCACAACUCUACAAUUUUCUUGUAAGUUUUGACCAUUUGAUUUGUUUUGCCAGUAAAAUGUGAACAGAAGUACUGCAUAUCACUUCCAGGUGGAAUGCAUUAAGAGUCAAUGUGAAACUUGCCAACUUUUCUCUCUGCCAAGAAUGAAGCCCUGUUCCAGACAGCAGCUGCUCUAGAAGCCUGGGUCUGGGAGUGAGCAGUUUACCCAGACACCCUGUGAUAAUCAACUUGCUUCUGUGAGAUAGAAACUUUUGUGGCUUUAAGCUGCUGAGAUUUGCAGAAUACCAAACAAGAAAGGAAAGGAGGUGUUGAGAAAAUGGUGGAAGAAGUGAGAAGUAAGGAGAAAAAUUCAGCAGAGGGAAGAAUAGAAGUAAGUAGAAGAGGGCAAGAUAACAAAUUUAAUGCAUCCUCCAGCUCUAAGCUUAUAGAUACGAUACCUAUCCUGUCCAUUAAAUAUUAAAUUACUAAAGAAAAUGUUUAUUCAACUACAAUCAACUUCUUUAAAAAAUACGAGUAGGAUUUUUAUGGUACAAUUUCAGGUAUACAUGGUCCACAAGGAGAGAAUAUAUUUGCAUUCUCUAGUACCUUCCUUUUUUGCCUAAAAUAAAAUAUUAGACGAGGAAGAAGACAUAGACAGUUGAGUUGCUACAAUUUUGUUGUGGCUAUUAGCUCUCUAUUACAUUAUCCAAUUGGUUUAAAACAAUCCAAAGAUUGUUUGUGCAGUUAAGAAAUUCUAAUGUCUCUUAGACAUGAAAAAGAGAAAGUUGUUUUUCAAAAAUGAUUUUGUCUUAGAAUUUCCUUGGGCAUUUGCAGACAUUCUCUCCUAAACAAGUUUUCAGACUGCUGCUGCCACCUAGAGAACUAAUUUGAUAUUUCUCUACAGCCAAUAAAGAAAACAACAACCAGACAUUGUUUUUGUUAUUGCAAUGUGCUGUGUGUUGGAGAGAAAAGUAAUAAUCUAUUGUGUCACCCCUUGCAAGGUUCAUGGUUGAGACCUCUAUAACAAAAGACGGAUUAAUAAUAAAAAAUCAUGUAAACUUAUUUUACAUAACACAGGAGGGUUUGGAAAUGAAGACCUAAAGAAACAGGGGAAUAUGUGCAUUUUUAUGGAAAGUCUUGUAACAGAAGGAUUGAAGGACAAAAGAGUGUAAUCUAAUGGUAUUAAACUGAUGGGAACUUAUCAAAGCCUGUUUGUUCAGAUACUUCUCUGUGUUUCUGUGUCUUCAGAGAUAAAAAUGUUCCCUUUUUCCUGGUAUAGGGAGGGCACAUGUGGCUUGAGAAUCUUAUGACAUACUUCAAGGGAAGGUCAGCUAGGUUUUAUCCCACCCUUUGGGAAAGAAGUGAGAGGAGGUCAGAGAGACCUUCCUGCUUUUGCUGUUUUCUCAAAUGCCGAGGUGCCAUAUUUUGAGGCAGGUGUCCUAAACCUGGUCACAUGCAUUCUUAUCAUUUCACAUUAAGUAUUAACCUCCUCAUAUUUUUAUUGUAACAUUGUGUCCUAAAGUUAAAUCAUUUAUAUCUUAAUGUGUCUUAGUGUUAAAUCACUUAUUUGUUACCUGGGUCCUUUAUAUGAUGUAGAGAAUUGAAACCUGGCUUUCUGGGUAAAUUGCUGCAUAGAAUUUCUACAAAUGAAAAGUAGUCUUACUCAUUCCAUCUAACAGUAAAAGUAGCCCAUUCAAAUAAAUAAUAAAUAUUAAUAGUUAUUUGCAUGAUAAUAUUUUCAGAAUAAUGUAAUUCAAAUGCGUUAGUAUUUUCCAGUGUUUAUAUCUUCUUGGACUCACUUUACUGGUACUCAUGUGUCUUGCAAAGGAGGUAUUUAAUAGACUUCAUAUGUAACCCAAAGCAAAAUAUUAUUUGCAUUAAAGAUAUUCAAAAUCAAAUCUUAUAGGCAAUGAUAUCUAUCUAAAUUUGUCAGUCACAGUAAAUAAUAGUGAAUUUAUUUUUGAAUUGUUAGUGAAGUUAGCUACUAAUAUGGAAUAUCUUCUUGAGCUCCAUUUCUGUAGUUUAAAAAAAGGUGAUAUCUUUUUGUUAAUAAGCAUCCUCUUAUUGAGAGACUUCUGUUAUUCACAGAAUUCUAUGCCAAUCAACAGCUGGAUUAGUCAGGGUUCUCUAGAGGGACAGAGCUAAUAGGAUAUAUAUAUAUAUAUGUGUGUGUGUGUAUAUAUGUGUGUGUGUGUGUGUGU